GCGGGUUAGAGAUGGUGUCGUCAGCUCGUGCCCUCGGGUGCGGGUCAUACUUCGCUACUCUGCCUGCGGGUAUCUUUCCGGCGUGGGGGGCUGCACUUCUCGCCUAGUAGGACGUCGCGACCCGUUGGGUGCCGUUCCAUGGCCCGUGGUGGAGGCCGUGCCGGAGCGUCGUUUCGGCGGCGUUGCUGUUGCACGGACCCGCGGUGACCUGAACGGCUGUCCGACGGUAGCAAAGCAUUGGGAAGGGACCGCACAGAAGGCUGCGUCCGACGCUCGCUCUCAGAGCUACGCUCGGACAGGUCCGUACCCGGUCAGCGGCGCUUCUGCUUCCGGUACUCGUCCGACCCGUCUUGAAACACGGACCAAGGAGUCUAACAUGUACGCGAGUCAUUGGGCUCUGCGAAACCUAAAGGCGAAAUGAAAGUAAAGGCUAGGCNCUUGUGCCAAGCUGAGGGGUGAUGGCCGUCCCUUCUGUGGACGGCCCGCAACCCCGGGGCGUCGCGUUCUCUUUGAGAAGUGGCGCACCCAGAGCGUACACGUUGGGACCCGAAAGAUGGUGAACUAUGCCUGGCCAGGACGAAGUCAGGGGAAACCCUGAUGGAGGUCCGUAGCGAUUCUGACGUGCAAAUCGAUCGUCGGAGCUGGGUAUAGGGGCGAAAGACUAAUCGAACCAUCUAGUAGCUGGUUCCCUCCGAAGUUUC
RNAcentral lists this ribosomal RNA (701 nucleotides) under Frankliniella schultzei. RNAcentral's name for it is "eukaryotic LSU rRNA". It matches the Rfam family "Eukaryotic large subunit ribosomal RNA", at positions 504 to 970 of the family's 3401-position model. Lineage: Eukaryota; Metazoa; Arthropoda; Insecta; Thysanoptera; Thripidae. The record is from RNAcentral.